Molecule: ribosomal RNA, 449 nt
Filed under: uncultured bacterium
Lineage: Bacteria
Description: bacterial SSU rRNA
Rfam family: Bacterial small subunit ribosomal RNA
Source: RNAcentral
AUGAAUGCUGGCGGCGUGCCUAACACAUGCAAGUCGAGCGGUAACAGGGGUAAUUUAUUACCUGCUGACGAGCGGCGGACGGCUGAGUAACGCGUGGGAACAUACCCCAAAGUGAGGGAUAACUGCCCGAAAGGGUGGCUAAUACCGCAUAUGGUCUUCGGAUUAAAGGAUUUAUCCGCUUUGGGAAUGGCCUGCGUACGAUUAGAUAGUUGGUGAGGUAAAGGCUUACCAAGUCUACGAUCGUUAACUGGUCUGAGAGGAUGAUCAGUCAGACUGGAACUGAGACACGGUCCAGACUCCUACGGGAGGCAGCAGUGAGGAAUCUUCCACAAUGGGCGAAAGCCUGAGGGAGCAACGCCGCGUGCAGGAUGAAGGCCUUCGGGUCGUAAACUGCUUUUAAAAGUGAAGAAUAUGACGGUAGCUGUUGAAUAAGCACCGGCUAACUACGU